GAAAAUAAGAUCAGCAUUUGACGUUGCAUUUUCAAAGACUUAGUCUGCUCUAUAGUGGACUUUAUUCAAAUGCAAUGAGUGAAACAGCGCCCCCCAGUCUAUUGUAUUGCAUUUACAUUUACAAGCAGCUUUCCAAGGGACACAAUGCAAAUGAAAAUUCAAUCCGUCAGUCCUCUCAUCAAGGCGAGUCCUCAGUUAAGACGUCCCUUCCUUUUCAGUUGGAAGGCCACUUCAGGUUCUCAUGGUUCAGUUGUGUAUCUACCAUUACACAACACUAGGCAGUAAUUUCACAACCAAAUGAAAUCUAUCGACCGAACAGCUCAAGGAUGGAUCUAUACCAACUUCAAACUUGGAACCUACAGGCCAGCAGAGGUGUUUCCUGCCAGGCUAACAGAAGACAAUCAGAGGACUCCUCACUCCUCCUCAAUUACAGAGGCUGACAUGAAACCAUCUGAGACUUACUAUAAUGAGUGAGCAAGCCAGUGAUCCACAAAGGAUUCAAAUAUCAACGAGGUAUGUCCCUGUCAGAAACAGCUCUCCAUGUUGAAUCAGUGCCUCUGAACAGCAAAAACAGAAUAUUUUAACCUUCACGAAGGUAGGAUUAUUGCAGGACUGCAUUAGUUUUAGCUUGGUGUACCUAAUAAACUGGCAGCUGUAUCUGCUUAUAGGCCCCAUAGAAACAUACCAAACUUGUAUAUUUAAGAGUAAGUUAGUGGAGUGCAAAUACCAUAUCCAGCCAACAAUAACUAGGACAAGCUUUCUUUCACAAUAUGAAUAUAGUGACAUAAGACAUACAAAUAAUUUGAGCUUCGGAGGCAUUUACACAUCCUUUCAGCUGCUGUUCUUACUGUGUUGAAUGCUCUUAGUGGCCUUAAUAGGUGCACCUUUACAUUGUAA
Molecule: long non-coding RNA, 897 nt
Organism: Micropterus salmoides (largemouth bass)
Lineage: Eukaryota; Metazoa; Chordata; Actinopteri; Centrarchiformes; Centrarchidae
Exons: 3
Source: RefSeq, a predicted model, not a curated record